GGCACAAACUGGAGGUAGAGUAGAUUAUUAUGGUCAGCUGACCCUACUAAUCUACUCAACUUCAAAUUUGAGCUC
Molecule: non-coding RNA, 75 nt
Organism: Haemonchus placei
Lineage: Eukaryota; Metazoa; Nematoda; Chromadorea; Rhabditida; Trichostrongylidae
Source: Rfam